UUCCUCCCACGCCAUUUCCAUACUCCCACCUCAUUUUCACUUUACCCCAUGUAAUUGAAGAGAAAAAUAGAGAGAAUCGACUAAGGAAAGAAAGAAAAGAAAGGUGGAAGGCUUGGGUAGUAAGUGAGUCAAGAGAAAUUGAAGAAAUAUAAAGUGGGUCUCAAGAUUCAAUAAACAUAAGGUAAGGAUUUUUGUGUUUACAGUUCAUGGUUGGUUAAAUCUUUGGAAAAAUAAUGUGUGAAUCAUUUUGUGGUAGCUAUAGUGACCAUAGGUGUGAGGAAAUUAUGGAUUUUGUUGGGUGAAAUUCAAGCUAAAACCAAGUGGUAAGCUUAAUGCUACAAUUUGAAGCUUAUGAUUGGUUUAAUAUUGUGAGACUGAUUGUAUGCAUAUGUAGUGUUAUUGUGAUGUCAUGGAUAUGGUUGGAAGGCAAUUAUAUUAAUUGGAAGUUUGAUGUGUAGAUAUGUGUUUUUAGGAAAGGUUUAAAAGGUUAUGGAUGUUGGUGUGCAUGAAUGAAUAUUAAUGUUAUGCUUGGUGGCAACAUGUAAAUGAGGAUGGUGGUACAUGUAGACUUAGAAAAUAUUUGAUGGAAGUAAAUUUAUAGUUGUUGCCAUAUGCUAGGUAAUUAUUGUGGAAAUGAUGGAUAAACUUGAUAAAUAUCCUUAGACAAGAUUUAUAUAUGUGCUAGAGCCAUAAAUAAGUUGCUGGUAUCCAUAAUCUAAAGAAUUACGCAAGUAAAGGAUAAAGGCUACUUUGGUAAAGAAUGUGUCAAGAUAUAAGUUAGUUGAAUAAGGAUUCAUGAUUGAAGGAAAAAAAGAAGUGAAAAUGAGGUACACUAAAGAUAUUGAAUUUGGAUUGUUGCUAGGAAGUACAAAAGUAAAGGUAAUGUACUGUGACAGCGUGCCGGAGGAAAUAAUGAGCGACCAGCAAGUAGAAAUAGCUAGAUACGCCUUCGAACUAAUAGUGAUGUAACAUCUCGCUAUCGUAAGGUGAGUAAACUUGCAUUAAAAUGUUUUAGGAUAAAUGCAUAUGUGUUUAAUUGAAUCACCUGAAAUGUUUUAUCGGACUUUUCUUUAAAACAUGCACGGGAACAAGCCCUCAAUGAAACGUUUUUAUGUAGUGAAAUAUGAAUGUGAUGAAUUCAUGUGUUUCCACAUUAUGUUGAUGUGUAUGUUAUGCAUUGAAUGAUACUAUUGUGUGAUAAUUAUGACCCAGCUAUGUGCGGUGUAUGAGUGCACAUGAGCUGAUGAUGACCCAGCUAUGUGCGGUGUGGUAGUGCACAUGAGCUGAUGAUGACUUAACUAUGUGCGGUGUGGGAGUACACAUGAACUGAUGAUGACUCAGCUAUGUGCGGUGUGGGAGUGCACAUGAGCUGAUGAUGACCUAGUUAUGUGCGGUGUGGGAGUGCACAUGAGCUGAGGGAGAGUUGGGGUGAUACCGGUGGUCGUAUGUAUGUUUAUAUAUGUUAUAUAUGGAGAGGUUAUGGAAAUUAUAUUAUGCUUGCAUUGAUUAUUGAAUGUUAAAAUUUGAGAAAUGCUUUCCAAUUGAUUUUCACUACAGCAAAAAUGGAUUUUCGUUGUGACAAGAAAUUAAGCUAAAUUGCAUUGUUUUCAACAUAAGUGCAUCAUGUUUUCAAAAUCUUUCCGUAUCGUUUGCUUGUUCCCUUCCUAUGUUCACUCACUGAGUUUAUAUUCAUUAUUUUCAACUUCAUAUUUUAGUUUUCAAGUUCGAAGGUAGUUGGAUUCCUAGGCCAAGGUACUUCAUUUUAUCUAUUUUUCAGUAGGUUGCCCUAACACUAAAUGUAAGCACCCACGCCUAGAGUCACUCCGCUGACGGUUGAGGUCUUUGUAUAUGCACAUAUAUGCUUAAUGUGAAUUGUUAAGAUACAUUUGACAAACUAUCUAUGUAUAUUUUGAUUUAUGGUGCCAAUGUGAGUAUUUA
This 1938-nucleotide long non-coding RNA is filed under the name Theobroma cacao (cacao). Its description in RNAcentral is "long non-coding RNA (TCAC_LNC002252)". The record is from RNAcentral. Lineage: Eukaryota; Viridiplantae; Streptophyta; Magnoliopsida; Malvales; Malvaceae.